GACGAACGCUGGCGGCGCGCCUAACACAUGCAAGUCGAACGAGCGAGCGAGAGCUUGCUUUCUUGAGCGAGUGGCGAACGGGUGAGUAACGCGUGAGGAACCUGCCCCAAAGAGUGGGACAACAGUUGGAAACGACUGCUAAUACCGCAUAAGCCCACGGUGCCGCAUGGCACGGAGGGAAAAGGAGCAGUCCGCUUUGGGCUCGCGUCGCGUCCGAUUAGCUAGUUGGUGUGGUAACGGCCCACCAAUGCGACGAUCGGUAGCCGGACGGAGAGGUUGAAAGGCCACAUUGGGAAUGAGACACGGACCAGACUCCUACGGGAGGGAGCAGUGGGGAAUAUUGCACGAUGGGGGAAAACGUGAUGCAGCGACGCCGGGUAGAGGAAGAAGGUGUUCGGAUUGUAAACUCCUGUUGUAGGAGAAGAUAAUGACGGUACCCAACAAGGAAGUGACGGCUAACUACGUG
RNAcentral lists this ribosomal RNA (466 nucleotides) under uncultured bacterium. Its description in RNAcentral is "partial 16S ribosomal RNA". It matches the Rfam family "Bacterial small subunit ribosomal RNA", at positions 28 to 507 of the family's 1533-position model. The record is from RNAcentral.